RNAcentral lists this unclassified non-coding RNA (162 nucleotides) under uncultured Herpotrichiellaceae. Its description in RNAcentral is "sequence contains ITS2". Lineage: Eukaryota; Fungi; Ascomycota; Eurotiomycetes; Chaetothyriales; Herpotrichiellaceae. The record is from RNAcentral.
UCAACCAUCAAGCCUGGCUUGUCAUUGGACCUCUGUGCGGCUGAAAUACGCGGCAGGUCCGAAAGAUAAUGACGGCGUUGUGUUUGACCCUAGAUGCAACGAGCUUUUCAAAGCACGCAUUGAAGUGGUCGGCCGACCCGAUCUUUAACCAUCAUUUUCUAA